UUGACUCAGUUCAUUAUUGGUGAUGCUGAAUUUAACACUGAGAAACAAUGCACAAUUAACUUUUCCAUGCAUGUAAUCCAUAAAGGCUUUUAGACAUAUUGACAUAAUAUGUGAUUCGAUCAGAUCUUUGUUUAAUAUCGACAGGGUGCGGCUGCAGGUGUUCUCAGACGAGCAGGAAAACAGUUGAUUGGUGCUCUGCGUAAUCUGGUGCGGUUCGACUUCAUUGGCUUCCCCAUUGGUUUGUCCCUGAUGUUUGCAGCAAACAUGGGGAUUGUAGGACUAUGGACAGGACUGACCAUUUGUGUGUCACUGUAGGCGAUUGUUUUUAUCACAAUUUUUGUGCAAACUUAAUUGGAAAAAGGCUGCUGAAGAGGCUCUUGUGAGAGCAGGAGUCCAGAUCCCAGAAGAAAAAGAGAUGGUUGAUUUGGAACACACAGACUCGAGUCAGAACCAGGCCCAGGUCUGUACUACUCCAUCCAGCUCUGUGAGUGCUGCGCAGGAUGAUGCAGACCUGGACGUGCAUGAGUCAGGCCACAGUCCACUACAGUCCACUACCACUACAAUGGGAGUUGUUCUGUCAGUAAAGCAGCAGGUUUUGCGGCGUGGCCUCACAUUGCUAAUCAUGAUCGUCAUGGAAUUGUAACCAGGAACUUGCUGGUGAAACUGUUCCAAUGACUCAUCCUAAAAGUGCUGCUCAUCAUAUUGAUUUUCACAUUACCCACAAUGCAAGUCAACCACGGAGAGUUCGUUCGGAGAUUCGGGCCGCUAGCCUCAAGCACAGAUGAGGCUACAUAGCUCUGGUGCAGUGGUACUCCCCAAGACCUGUAAACAGAUUUUGAUGUGUAAAAUCAGUGGAGUUCCCCCUUUAAUAUUCCAGUGCUAUAUUUGAAAAACCACAGUGAGCAUUAAUAGUUAGGUGCUGUACAUCUUUAUGCAUAUGAGUUCAGUAGCACAGGUAUUGGGCAUGUAAAAAGAUGAAUAUGGCUAUAAGUGGAGUUAGAAUGUGAAUUCAAAGAUGUUUCAAUUUUAGGAUUAACAUUUUUCAUGUCUGAUGAUUUUAUUCUUCAGAUGCUAAGUGAAUAUGUAGUGUAGAAAUUCACCUUGUACUUCAAAUCAGCACAAAUCAGACUGGCAUGUAUGGCGUUCCUCAGGGUUCCACUUUUAUUUGAUGUGUACAUGUUAGUUUUAACUCAACAGCAACAAUAUAAUAAUCAUAAUUAUUCGGAUCUCAAAUGUACUUAUCUGUGUUGAAAUAAUAGUUUUUGGUCCCUAAGAAGAAGGACUAAAAGUCAGUGCUCAUCUUAAUCCAUGUCACUGACAACUAAAACUUAAAUCAGAAAUCUUGGUGCAGUCAUGGAUCCAGACUUAAAUUUCAAAAGUCACCUCAAGACACACUGGUCAACUGAUUGAUUUCAGAUUUUAAUACAAACAUGGACAAGCUGCUUUUAGCUUUACACCUUGUUAUUAAAUAAAUCAAAAUGAAAAACACAUGUUUGCUGUUGCUUUUAAUUCAACUUUAUCUGUUUUUAGAUCUGAUUUGAUCUAAAAUCUCCCUGCUCUUCUCUUUUUUUGUUUUUUAUAUUUAUACUGUUUUAUUCUUGAUGUCUAAUGAAAAGCACUUUGAAUUAUCAUGUGUAAUUAUCGUGUGUAUGAUGACAAAGAUAAUGUUCCUUUAAGCAAUCAGUUGAUAAUCAGUUGCUUCUGUAAUGAUUAAUUUGGGGUUAUACUGGGCAGCUUUUAGGUGUCAGUGUGUGUAACUGUGUAAGUGACACUGCCAAAACAUUUUUAGCUAAAUAGAGAGGUGUUUCAAAAAGAAGGCUCAGAAAAUCCAGGCUUACUGGGGGAAGCCUGGCUUGAAUGAGCCUAAUAAACAUGUUUAAGUUGUUCCGUAAAGCCAUCUAAAAUCAGCUAAUCGGAUCAUGACAUCAAGUGCAGAUCUCAUCACCUCCCAAUAAAGAUGUAAAGAGAACACUGCAACAUUCAUAGGCCAGAGAGUAGCACAUAAUAUACACAUAAUGCAAAGGAUGAAAUAUUGUACAAAACAAGAUAAAACCACUGCCAUAAACAAAUCCAAAACCUUGACAGCAUGUUGCCCCCCCAGAGGUCAGCUCAGACUUUGACACAAGUAGAGAUGACCUCUGUGCCAUUUAACUCCCCUGUUGGCUCAGUCUGUGUACGUGCCUUCCUUGUAUCUUCUUGUCAUCUUUGGUUCAUGUCCAGUGUGAGUGUGAGUCCCUUUUCUCUGUAUCAUGACUGUUAAAAAUUAAUCUACAUGUGCAAGAUGCAAGACACUGAAGUGUCACCUAGGAAGAACCCUAGACAGGUUAUGUAUUGUAAUUUGCAUGUUCUAGCAGUUUAAGGUCUGUCAGUUGGAUUAUGCUCCAUAGCCUGUACAAGUGACAUAACAGUCUCCA
Molecule: long non-coding RNA, 2414 nt
Organism: Siniperca chuatsi (mandarin fish)
Lineage: Eukaryota; Metazoa; Chordata; Actinopteri; Centrarchiformes; Sinipercidae
Exons: 5
Source: RefSeq, a predicted model, not a curated record